RNAcentral lists this ribosomal RNA (279 nucleotides) under uncultured bacterium. Its description in RNAcentral is "partial 16S ribosomal RNA". It matches the Rfam family "Bacterial small subunit ribosomal RNA", at positions 506 to 784 of the family's 1533-position model. The record is from RNAcentral.
UGCCAGCCGCCGCGGUAAUACGAAGGGGGCUAGCGUUGCUCGGAAUUACUGGGCGUAAAGGGCGCGUAGGCGGACAGUUAAGUUGGGGGUGAAAGCCCGGGGCUCAACCUCGGAAAUGCCUUCAAUACUGGCUGUCUUGAGUACGGGAGAGGUGAGUGGAACUCCGAGUGUAGAGGUGAAAUUCGUAGAUAUUCGGAAGAACACCAGUGGCGAAGGCGACUCACUGGCCCGUUACUGACGCUGAGGCGCGAAAGCGUGGGGAGCAAACAGGAUUAGAUA